AUGACGUCACCCUCCUUCAACAAUGAAGACAAGGAUGCUUGGCUAUUGAAGAUAGAGUUGAAAAGAGAAGAACCGGAGGAGAUUAACAAGGAUGAAAGGAUCAAGAAGGCUAUGGAGGAUCAAGCCCUGGCGAUGGAAGAAGAAAACAUUCCUCAACCUCUACCUAACCUCUUUACCCCAACUGAGAUUGAAGCUUUCAAGAUGAUUGAGUUAGCUCGCAUACAAAACAAGUAUCUUACACAAGAUUUUUUUGUUGAAGGAUCAUAUCGUCGCACUCAAGGGCAGUAUCCGCAAGUUGGAGGAGCUUUUACGCUCGAAGUGCGAUUAUCCACCAUCAUCAUCACCACCUUCAUCACCUCCGAGGACAUAAUCACAUGGGUAUGGGCACUCCCCUUGGCAACUGCCAAGCUUGGGGGAGGUGCCCCGGUAUCGUAUCACCAUCACACUCCUAUCUUUACCGUUUUACUUAGUUCAAUCCUUUUAGUAAUAUCUUGA
This 495-nucleotide ribosomal RNA is filed under the name Triticum aestivum (bread wheat). Its description in RNAcentral is "partial small subunit ribosomal RNA". Lineage: Eukaryota; Viridiplantae; Streptophyta; Magnoliopsida; Poales; Poaceae. The record is from RNAcentral.